AUUGAACGCUGGCGGCAGGCUUAACACAUGCAAGUCGAGCGGGGUGAUGGUGCUUGCACUAUCACUUAGCGGCGGACGGGUGAGUAAUGCUUAGGAAUCUGCCUAUUAGUGGGGGACAACAUCUCGAAAGGGAUGCUAAUACCGCAUACGUCCUACGGGAGAAAGCAGGGGAUCACUUGUGACCUUGCGCUAAUAGAUGAGCCUAAGUCGGAUUAGCUAGUUGGUGGGGUAAAGGCCUACCAAGGCGACGAUCUGUAGCGGGUCUGAGAGGAUGAUCCGCCACACUGGGACUGAGACACGGCCCAGACUCCUACGGGAGGCAGCAGUGGGGAAUAUUGGACAAUGGGGGGAACCCUGAUCCAGCCAUGCCGCGUGUGUGAAGAAGGCCUUAUGGUUGUAAAGCACUCUAAGCGAGGAGGAGGCUCUUUUGGUUAAUACCCAAGAUGAGCGGACGUUACUCGCAGAAUAAGCACCGGCUAACUCUGUGCAGCCGCCGCGGUAA
This 502-nucleotide ribosomal RNA is filed under the name uncultured bacterium. RNAcentral's name for it is "partial 16S ribosomal RNA". It matches the Rfam family "Bacterial small subunit ribosomal RNA", at positions 30 to 523 of the family's 1533-position model. The record is from RNAcentral.